GACGAACGCUGGCGGCGUGCUUAACACAUGCAAGUCGAACGGAAGGGCCCUGCUUUUGUGGGGUGCUCGAGUGGCGAACGGGUGAGUAACACGUGAGUAACCUGCCCUUGACUUUGGGAUAACUUCAGGAAACUGGGGCUAAUACCGGAUAGGAGCUCCUGCUGCAUGGUGGGGGUUGGAAAGUUUCGGCGGUUGGGGAUGGACUCGCGGCUUAUCAGCUUGUUGGUGGGGUAGUGGCUUACCAAGGCUUUGACGGGUAGCCGGCCUGAGAGGGUGACCGGCCACAUUGGGACUGAGAUACGGCCCAGACUCCUACGGGAGGCAGCAGUGGGGAAUAUUGCACAAUGGGCGGAAGCCUGAUGCAGCAACGCCGCGUGCGGGAUGACGGCCUCGGGUUGUAAACCGCUUUCGCCUGUGACGAAGCGUGAGUGACGGUAAUGGGUAAAGAAGCACCGGCUAACUACGUG
Molecule: ribosomal RNA, 467 nt
Filed under: uncultured bacterium
Lineage: Bacteria
Description: partial 16S ribosomal RNA
Rfam family: Bacterial small subunit ribosomal RNA
Source: RNAcentral